UAACAAUGAUUCCCCUAGUAACGGCGAGUGAAGAGGGAAAAGCUCAAAGUUGGAACCUGGUAGGCAUAGCUUACCCGGAUUGUAAACUAAAGUUUUCGAGUCGUUUAGUCAGCCAGGUAAAUAAGUCCUCUGGAAAGGGGCGACAUAGAGGGUGAAAUCCCCGUCUUUGGCCUGAGUUUUGAUUAGGCGUUUGGCUUGGAAACGAAGAGUCAGGUUGUUUGGGAAUGCAGCCUAAAAUGGGAGGUAAAUCUCUCCUAAAGCUAAAUAUUGACGAAAGACCGAUAGCGAACAAGUACCGUGAGGGAAAGAUGAAAAGCACUUUGAAAAGAGGGUCAAAAAGUACGUGAAAUUGCUGAAAGGGAACCGUAUGAAAUCAGAUCUACUGGUAGGUAAUCAAUCUUUCCUUUGGGAAGGAUGCACUUGCCUACUAUGUAUGCCAGCGACAUUUUGGUUGGGAGGAAAAAAAUAAAGGAAAUGUAGCUUAGGUUUCGGCUUAGGUGUUAUAGUCCUUUAUAAAAUACUCUCGGCUGGAAUGAGGAACGCAGCAAACCGUAAGGCGAAGAUUUCAGGCGCUUAGAGGGAAUAAUUAGAGAAUUUCUGCUUCGGGUGGUGCUUUGAUUAUUACCUUUAACACGCUUGGAGUUCUUUUAAUUUGCUUAGGUUGUUGGCUUAAUGAUUUUAUAUGACCCGUCUUGAAACACGGACCAA
Molecule: ribosomal RNA, 708 nt
Filed under: Cunninghamella bertholletiae
Lineage: Eukaryota; Fungi; Mucoromycota; Mucoromycetes; Mucorales; Cunninghamellaceae
Also listed under: 1 other name
Description: eukaryotic LSU rRNA
Rfam family: Eukaryotic large subunit ribosomal RNA
Source: RNAcentral